AACAACCUAUGAAUAUAAUAACAGCAGCGUCAAAGGUCAGAAUACGUGUGAUGUGUAACGGGACACAAACGGCAAAAAUACUGAAGCACGACACAACCGAUGUACCAAAACAUACUCUUUGAACCUGAACUCGAGGUCAAGACUGAGCCACCAGAUCCAGCACUGAACGAUCCAGACUCAACCAACCAGACGGCAAUCUGAGACAAACACCUCCAAACAGCCGACCCCAGCGAAGCACCUGUGCCGACCCAUCCUCCCCUGCUUCUGGUUGGGCCCGAAGCCCUUCAUAGGCAUCCUGGCAGUCUGGCUGCUUCUCCUUACUCUUCUUCAGUUCAGUGAGCACUGAUU
This is a long non-coding RNA of Puntigrus tetrazona (Sumatra barb), 348 nucleotides long. RefSeq lists it as uncharacterized. The record is from RefSeq and is a predicted model, not a curated record. The transcript is spliced from 3 exons. NCBI's taxonomy places the organism in Eukaryota, Metazoa, Chordata, Actinopteri, Cypriniformes, Cyprinidae.